AUACGGAGGGUGCGAGCGUUGUUCGGAAUUAUUGGGCGUAAAGCGCGUGUAGGCGGUUUGUUAAGUCUGAUGUGAAAGCCCCGGGCUCAACCUGGGAAGUGCAUUGGAUACUGGCAGACUUGAAUACGGGAGAGGGCAGUGGAAUUCCUGGUGUAGGAGUGAAAUCCGUAGAUAUCAGGAGGAACACCGGUGGCGAAGGCGGCUGCCUGGAACGGACCUGACGGUGAGUAACGAAAGCCAGGGGCGC
Molecule: ribosomal RNA, 247 nt
Filed under: uncultured bacterium
Lineage: Bacteria
Description: partial 16S ribosomal RNA
Rfam family: Bacterial small subunit ribosomal RNA
Source: RNAcentral